CCUACGGGUGGCUGCAGUGGGGAAUAUUGCACAAUGGGGGAAACCCUGAUGCAGCGACGCCGCGUGAGUGAAGAAGUAUUUCGGUAUGUAAAGCUCUAUCAGCAGGGAAGAAAAUUACGGUACCUGACUAAGAAUCCCCGGCUAACUACGUUCCAGCACCCGCGGUAAUACGUAGGGGGCAAGCGUUAUCCGGAUUUACUGGGUGUAAAGGGAGCGUAGACGGCCAGACAAGUCAGAAGUGAAAGCCCAGGGCUCAACCCUGAGACUGCUUUUGAAACUGGCGGGCUGGAGUGCAGGAGAGGUAAGCGGAAUUCCUGGUGUAGCGGUGAAAUGCUUAGAUAUUAGGAGGAACACCAGUGGCGAAGGCAGCUUACUGAACUGUCACUGACGUUGAGGCUCGAAAGCGUGGGGAGCAAACAGGAUUAGAUACCCUGGUAGUC
Molecule: ribosomal RNA, 440 nt
Filed under: uncultured bacterium
Lineage: Bacteria
Description: partial 16S ribosomal RNA
Rfam family: Bacterial small subunit ribosomal RNA
Source: RNAcentral